UGGAUGAUGUGGUUAAUUCGAUGCAACGCGAAAACCUUACCACCUUUGACAUGUACGGAAUCCUUUAGAGAUAGAGGAGUGCUCGAAAGAGAGCCGUAACACAGGUGCUGCAUGGCUGUCGUCAGCUCGUGUCGUGAGAUGUUGGGUUAAGUCCCGCAACGAGCGCAACCCUUGUCAUUAGUUGCUACGAAAGGGCACUCUAAUGAGACUGCCGGUAAUAAACCGGAGGAAGGUGGGGAUGACGUCAAAUCAUCAUGCCCCUUAUGACCUGGGCUACACACGUGCUACAAUGGUUGGUACAACGAGUUGCGAGUCGGUGACGGCGAGCUAAUCUCUUAAAGCCAAUCUCAGUUCGGAUUGUAGGCUGCAACUCGCCUACAUGAAGUCGGAAUCGCUAGUAAUCGCGGAUCAGCACGCCGCGGUGAAUACGUUCCCGGGCCUU
Molecule: ribosomal RNA, 442 nt
Filed under: uncultured Streptococcus sp.
Lineage: Bacteria; Bacillati; Bacillota; Bacilli; Lactobacillales; Streptococcaceae
Description: bacterial SSU rRNA
Rfam family: Bacterial small subunit ribosomal RNA
Source: RNAcentral